GGAAGAGGAUGUGAAAUCUGAAUGACUGUGGAUGGCUUCAUCUCUAUAUACGAGUAUUCAGUAAGUGCACAAGGUCUCCGGGGUAGAUAAACAACAAAUAGGACCCAUGUGAAACAUGCACUGUGACAGUGAUACAACCGAGAAUUUGAGGUAGUUCUGAGCCAAAACUGUUCAGGCAAAUGCUGGUGUUCAUGUGAAGAGACAGACCAAGAAUAUGAGCAUACAUUGUUAAGAGACAGAGAAGAGAGUAGAACUUUUGGAAAUCUCAUAAAGCUGUAAAGAAAAUAAAAUGGAUUUCACACUUUUUCCAGUGUGGGUAGCCAGAUGCCAACAGAGAAGUCGUCUCAUUACCUACUGAAAGGACCUUGUGGAGAAACCCUGUGCAGAACUAUUUGAGAG
Long non-coding RNA from Zalophus californianus (California sea lion), 399 nucleotides. RefSeq lists it as uncharacterized. Lineage: Eukaryota; Metazoa; Chordata; Mammalia; Carnivora; Otariidae. The transcript is spliced from 4 exons. The record is from RefSeq and is a predicted model, not a curated record.